ACGGAAGGCAGCAGUGGGGAAUAUUGGGCAAUGGGCGAAAGCCUGACCCAGCAAUGCCGCGUGAAGGAAGAAGGUCUUCGGAUUGUAAACUUCUUUUAUGAGGGACGAAGGAAUUGACGGUACCUCAUGAAUAAGCCACGGCUAACUACGUGCCAGCAGCCGCGGUAAUACGUAGGUGGCAAGCGUUAUCCGGAUUUACUGGGUGUAAAGGGCGCGUAGGCGGGGAAGCAAGUCAGAUGUGAAAUCUAUGGGCUUAACUCAUAAACUGCAUUUGAAACUGUUUCUCUUGAGUGCUGGAGAGGUAGAUGGAAUUCCUAGUGUAGCGGUGAAAUGCGUAGAUAUUAGGAAGAACACCAGUGGCGAAGGCGGCUUGCUGGGCUUUUACUGACGCUGAGGCUCGAAAGCGUGGGGAGCAAACAGGAUUAGAUACCCUGGUA
This is a ribosomal RNA of 437 nucleotides. It matches the Rfam family "Bacterial small subunit ribosomal RNA", at positions 341 to 792 of the family's 1533-position model.